Molecule: ribosomal RNA, 279 nt
Filed under: uncultured Staphylococcus sp.
Lineage: Bacteria; Bacillati; Bacillota; Bacilli; Caryophanales; Staphylococcaceae
Description: partial 16S ribosomal RNA
Rfam family: Bacterial small subunit ribosomal RNA
Source: RNAcentral
CCUUUGACGUUAGCGGCGGACGGGUGAGUAACACGUGGGUAACCUACCUGUAAGACUGGGAUAACUUCGGGAAACCGGAGCUAAUACCGGAUAAUAUUUCGAACCGCAUGGUUCGAUAGUGAAAGGUGGUUUUGCUAUCACUUAUAGAUGGACCCGCGCCGUAUUAGCUAGUUGGUAAGGUAACGGCUUACCAAGGCGACGAUACGUAGCCGACCUGAGAGGGUGAUCGGCCACACUGGAACUGAGACACGGUCCAGACUCCUACGGGAGGCAGCAGUG